UCAAACAUGCUGGUGAUGAAUUGUUCCAGGUUAAUUCGUUUUCCAAUUUAUGAAACAAAAGGAUGGUUUGAGUUUGACACCAUAAUGCUUUGUUUUUCUUUUAUCCUUGUGAUUUUGAGAAUAGCAGUCUCAAUUGGAAUUAGAGAGAGAGUGAAUGUGAAACAUAGGCAUAGCCUUGGCCUUACGCCAUUACAAUUUUACUGAGAUAAACUAUACUGGCUUUUACAUUCACACGCUACAUCAAUAAAAAUUCAGAAAACAAGAUUAAAUCUGAGAGAAUGCUUUAUCAAUCUAAUGCUUUUUCUUGGUAACAUAAGAAGAGGUGUCGAGAAAGGGAUAAUCCGUGUAACCAACAACAGGAUCGGAAACAUAGAAUGUUUCUCUGUUGUACUUAUUGAGGGGGGCAUUGAACUCAAAUCUCCUGGGUAAAUCUGGAUUAGCCAAGAACAAGCGACCAUAAACAACAAGAUCUGCACGGCCUUCAGCAAUAGCUUUGUUUCCAUCUUCCCUGUCAUAACCCCCAGCGACAAGAAAAGUACCCUUGAAAGCCUUUCUCAUGGGCAGCAAACUGUGAGGACAUUCAGAUUUUUCUCCAACUGUUUUCAUCCUCGGCUCAACCAUGUGACAAUAGAGGAUACCGUAUUUGUUCAAGGAUUCUGCCAUGUAAAGACCUAAAGCUUCUGGGUUAGAGUCCCCUGAUUCCAUAUAGUUUGCAAACGGAGAUAGUCUUAUCCCAACCCUAUCUGCCCCUAUUUCAUUGGAAACAGCUUCAACUAUUUCUAAAGCAAAACGGCAACGGUUCUCUAAGGAUCCUCCAUACUGGUCUGUUCGAUCAUUCACUUGAUCCUUCAUAAAUUGGUCAAUUAGGAAGCCAUGUGCACCGUGGAGCUCAAUGCCAUCGAAACCUAUACAGCAUAAGACAAAGUUAGAAACCAAAAACCUGUACAGCAUGAACACUCCAUUUAUCUAACUCUUCUCAUAUAACUAAAAGCUCUGAGGCUCGCAUUGUGCGGACAGACAGACGGAGGGUCUAGCUUUCAUUUUAAGAACAAGAAAAAGUCUUUAAGCAUUUACUAGGUUGGCUCUCAAAGUUAAUCCAAGGCAGUUUUGUGAUGUCUCAGAGAUGCAGGCAGAAAACUACAAAACUACUCAGAGUUGCAGGUACUCAAUCCCUAUUUUAACUAACAACAAAACAGUUGAUAAGAUCAUAAAAAACAAAGUCUCAACCAUCAUUUUAGAUGACAAAAGGAGUCACAUGUAAGAUUCUAGAACCCAUUCCAAAUAAUCUGACUAUUGUAAUGACUCCAUUUACAUUAAUGACACAUUUAGGUAAGGUUUAAGUUUUCAAAUUCUUUAUUCAAUAUGAUAAAUACAACUAUGGGACAAUAAGCAUAAUUGUAAAGAAACUUAACUGUUUUCACAUAAACCUUACAGUACAAUAAAACAACAGUAUUUACAAGCCACAAAAGCCUAGUAAAAAUCUAUUAAUGCAUUUAUGUUUAGUUUUCCUUUCCUUCUGAUAGCCAUGCAUGGAAUGGAAGAAUCUCACUAUUCUUUUAUACUAUUAUCCUUAAUCUCAAGAAAAGUAGACCAGUGAAAUAUCACCCAUCCUGUGGCGACCUUAGAACACUUAUUGCCCACAAUUCAAUUUUUAAUUUCAGAAAAAAAAAUUUACCAGCCUCAAUUGCAUUUCUUGCAGCAAGCCUGAAAUCAUUCACAAUUUGAGGGAUUUCAUCUGUCGUUAGCCGCCUUGGAGGAGUGAAUUGUGCAAUAUCAACACCAUUAGUGCGGAUUUGAGGUGUCAAUGGCUUGUCUGUACAGGAAAUUGGAGCUUGACCAUUUGGCUGAUAAUCUGUACAGUUCGACGACAGGAAAAACCAAUGAAGAUCCAGUUGAAAUGAUUCUCAAAUUUCUAUAAAAUCAGUCAGAUCCAUCACAUGGAGGUUGCAAAAAAACUAUUGAAUAUCAUUUUAUUAACUGAAAAUAAAAUGCAAAAGGAUGGUGCAUCUGUAGGAUGAUCAGUACUCAAUUUGAGCAUUUGAUUAAUCCGCGCUGCUUAUUCUCUCAACACUUGCCUCAUGUUAGAUUACUGUAAGUUACUGCAAUUCAAUAGCUUAAGUUCACGGUACCUUAUCUUAUUAUCAGAAAUAAAAUGUAUGUAUGAUCCUGAUAACUAAGUAACCAGUAACUGUCAAUAGAAGAGAGAGAUAUAGAACACACCUUGAUUUGAAACCCUGCCAACGUGCCCAAUCUGACAAAAGAAGAUCCCACCUUUGGCAUGAACAGCAUCUACAAUCGGUUUCCAUGCUUCAACUUGCUCCUUUGUCCAGAUACCAGGUGUAUCUGGAUACCUUACAAUAAAAGAAACAACAGAACACACAAGAUUUUCAAGCAACUAAAUACAGGUAAUGCUUUCGAAACUCAAACAUACAAUUUCUUAUCCAUUUAAUGCCUCAAAAAACUCUUAAAACAGUUAAACGGAUGUAAAAUUACCCUUGAGCAGUGUCGGAAACUCCAGUGGCUUCGGCUAUAAGCAAACCCCCUUUGGUGGUUCUUUGAGAGUAAUACAAAAUGGCAUGUGGCUGAGGAACAUUGUUGUAUGAUCUCUGUCUAGUCAGUGGUGCUAAAACAACUCUGAAAUAAACAAAACAAGCAAGCCGCAAUUCAAUUAGCCCCAUCACCAAUAACUCAAACUCAAAAGAAAAAAACCCAUAAAAUUGCAACAUUACACUUAAACUGCCUCUGUAACACUCUCAGUCAGAUCAUAGACCAAACGAACAAAUACAAAGAAGAUACAGAAACUAAAUCAGAUCAUACAUUCAAAUCAGUUAAGGGUAUUAUAAGUUAAUAACCGGGCGUGCUUCUGCUUAAUUACCAAAAAAGGACAGUUAAAAAGUGUUCCGUAAACACCAACAGUUUUACUCGAUAGCUACUGAUUCACUCCACAUAGAGACUGUGAAUUAAAAACCACAGUAACUAAAUCCCAAAUAUUUCCUAAUCCAUUCCAAAUAUUCACUAAUCCAUUCAUUCUAAAUGGACAAGGAUUCAGUGGUCCACUGCGUUUGCGCUGAGCCCUGGAUAAACAGUGAGAAUCUGAGUGCUCAUGAUGUGAAUGCUCGCCACUCAAAUGUACUUUGGCAGAUAUCACUUUCGUCAAUAAAGUUAACGCCAUACAAAAAUCCAUACAGCGAAAGAAAAUGUAAAUCCAAAAAAAUAAAAAUAAAAAACUCAAUGAAAUAAAAGGUGGGUACAAUCGGUACCUAUCAGAAAGAUUGAGACUGCCCAUAUUGUAAGGAGUGAGAAGAGGGAUGAUGGGAGUUUCAAUGGCCAUGUUACCGUUGUUCUCUUCUUGAUUUUGCUUAGCCUCCUCUGCUCUGUUUCCCAUGUUUAGUAGAAUUACAAGCAAAUUGAGAAUCCUUAACGCGACUGAAAAUAAAAUGAUUAAAGAAACGGAAGGGUUCAAUUGGGUAUUUAUAGACCGAAAUGGGUCGACCGUUUUGGAAUAUAAAAAAAUUCCACGAGGGGCGAAUCAGUCUCCAUUGCCAUUGGAUUCAAUGUUCACAUAUGUUUAAAAUGCUUUUAAUAGCUGGCACGUGACGUUUGCAAGUACGUAGCCGGCUGCUGUUGCCUGUCUUUGAACAACUAACCAAUAUGCUUUUAUUUUUAAUAAUGAGAUUCUAAGGGCUGUUUGGAAUUAUUGUUGAGAAGUUUAAAAAUAAUUUUUAAAAGUUAAUAGUUAAUUUUAGAUUUUGAUAAUUUUUUAAAAAUUAUUUUUGGUAAAUUUAUUUUAAUUUUAUAAUGGAUUUUAAAAAAUUGAGAAUAAGUAGUUUUUCAAAAUUUAAUUUAAGAAUCAAUUUUAUACCUAACAUAAUUUCAUACAUAUUCUCAAAUUUAUUAUAUAAAUCUAAAAUUAUCCUUUUUAAUUAGGAAAUAAAAUCAUUAACUUAAAAAAAAAUUAUUACUUCCCAUUAUAUUAAGAUAACAAAAAAAUUAAUAAUAUAAAAUAUUUAUUUUAGUUAUCAAUUAUCAUUUAUACAAAAUAAAAAUAUUUUAUAUACAUAUUUAUAAAUAUAUAAAUAAAAUCAAUUUAACAUUAAGUCUAGUUCAAUCGUUUACAUUCUUAUAGCAAUUUAGCAAUAAAACUUAGCACACAUACAAUUAUUUUUAAAACCCAUAAUACUUUUUAAAACGCAUAGUAUUUUAAAAGUUACAUUAUUAGUAGAAUAACCCUAAGUUAUUGUGCUGAUUGUACUGAUUGAUUGUAAUAAUUCUAUUUAAUGGAAUGAAAGUUUAGGGUGCCUAAAAAAUAUGUAUAAUUAAAUGAUUUAAAAAUCAAGUAGUACCAACAAAGAAAGUAAAAUAGAAUUAAAAAUUAUAUUUAAAGAAACAUGAAAUUGGUUUUAAUUAAGAAUAUCAAAACAUCAUAUAAUUGGAGUGACUUCAGCAAUGACAAAUUAAUCUAUAAUGUACUCAAACGGAAGUGAUCUGUCUUUGUCAAGACUCAAAAUAUUGAAAUUAGUUGAAGGGAUCUCUUCUUUAUUAGGAAAUUUUUUAUUAUUUCCCUAAAAUAAUUAUAAAAAAAAUUACUCCACAUGGAAAGUUUUUGUUAUAAUUUUUUAAUUAGUCGCUUUCCGCUUUCCCAAAUUUCCUUCGCCCAGUAAAAGUGCUACCUUGUCCCUUUCACUAGUGGUCUAUUUUCCAUAGUUAUUAUCUCAAUCAAGGUAAUUAGAUUUUAUUAUAAAUUUAUCAAACCUUUUUGCUCAUCAUAAUAUAUAGUUUCUGUUUUACUUAUUUAUAAGAUUUUUCAACAAGCGUAUAUUUUCAGCUGCGAAUCUCAGUGAAGACAUUACAAAACAUUAAAAUAGAAAAAUGAGUUCUUUUUAGAUUGUAAAGUUAUCUAUGUUAAAGAUAUAUUACAAAUACUACAUGACUAAAAUUUCAUUAUUGAUGAAUUCUAUAGUUUUAACUUUUAAGUCGCAAGUAUUUCUAUUUUUACACUAACGAGUCGUCUUUCUUAUAAUCUUUUCCAUUACAGAACCUAUAUAUUAAAGUUCUACACGUCAAUGCUAAAUUAAAAAAAAAAAAAGAUAAAAGAAAGAAAGAAACCACCCCAUGGUCAAUAAUCAAUAUUAUAAACUAUUAAAGAAAAUGAUGCAUCCCUCUUAAUUGAAACGAAAACAUGUCCAAGUUCAUCUUUGUCAUCAAAUGAACCGACAAAGUUAUCCAGGAAAUUACAAAUUUAACCAUAAGAAGUUGGAAUUAUAACCAUUAGACCACUCACUAUAAAAAUAAUAGCAUCGGAGUACUAUAUAUUGUGGGUCUUUAUGAUUUUUUAAUAAAAGAUUAACGUAUUUAUAAUUUUUAAUAAAAGAUUAAUGUAUUCGUAGUCUUUUAACCACCUCGUAAUCCUAAUUUAUUUUAUAUUUUUGUCGAAUUAAGACAAAAGGUUCUAUCGAACAUUUUGCAAACGAAAGGACUAUUGCAUCCAGUUUUUCAUGUUUGUGGUUGUUUUUGACAUUUAGCCAUAUCUCAAGUGUAUUGAAGCAUAUAUUUAUUCGACUUGAGUAGAGUUUUAUACUUAACAAAUAUUUUUUAAAAAAAUAUUAAAGCAAAUAUUUAUUCGUAUAUCAUCAUCAUGGUCGUCGUAGUUGUCAUUAUCAUCAUCAGUAAAAUAAUAAUAAUAAUAAUUUAUUAUAUCUUAAUAGUUUGUAAUUUUUUUUUAAUUUAUUUUAGAGAUAGAAUACAUACAAUUUUCUUUUUUGAAUUAUUAUGAUAUAUAUCAUAUAAAAGUAAAGAAUUUUGAAAUUUAAAAAUAAAUUAUGUUUGAAUGUUCACUUAGACAAAAUACAAAAAAAUAAUAAUAGGGACAUAUUGUGCUUUAAAGGCUUUGAAAUUCUUCUUUAAGUCUUGAAUUUCCGCAAUGACCAAAUAUAUUUCUGUUAGGCUGCCUUCUCUGUUGUUUAUCAAUUCUGGUACUUCAUGAGAAUUAGUUUCUAGGAUAACUGACUGUAGACCUGCUUCAUGUGCUAUUUUGAUGCCCUACUCAGCUGCUUCUACUUCCACAUAUGUUACAUCUCUCCUAAACCUUGAGGUUUUUAUAGCUGCAGCUAAGCACUUUCCAGUGGAGUCUAUGAUUAUUGCUCCCAAUCCCGAGCAUUGUCUUUUGGUGUCAGUAGUUGCAUUAACAUUUAUCUUUAGCCAUCCAUCGGGUGGAAGGGUCCAGGAUUUUGGUUUUUCCUUCUGCAUUUUUCCUAGAUUCAACAUCUCCGGAAAUUUUGUUCUUCUAAAAACUUCAUUGACUACUUCAGCUUUGGCCAUUUGCAAUCCUUGAUCCAACUUUACACCUUCAAAUACAAAUUUAUUCUGAGCAUGCCAAAUCACCCACCACAUUGACGCCACAAGCUCAAGUUCAGCUUUACUUAAUUUCUUCUGAAGCAUCAUCAAAUCCCCCAAGAGGUUUGCAUUUCUCAUCUAUUGAAUUGCAUUCACCAUUGAUGAAAGCUGCCAAACCUUUCUUGCUGCUUUGCAAGUGACCAUGGCGUGCAUAGUAUUUUCCACUCUAUUUCUACAAUGCUUGCAGUGACCUUCCUGAAUAAUUCUACGCUUCCACAAAUUAUCAGCUGUCGGUAGUAAGUUUUUAAUUACUUUCCAAAUGAAAAUCUUAAUCUUUUUUAGGAUGGUAAGGGUCUAUAUGAUAUUCCAAUUUCUGCCUUUACUGUUGGAGCAAUUUGGUGAAUUCAAAAAUUUCAUAUGUAUAGCCACUUGGUAUCCACUAUUGACCGAGUAUUUCCCCUUUCUGUCGUAAUGCCAGAUGGCUUGUCCUUUGCUUUGUCCUUUUGGCAAAGGAAUGCUGAGAAUUGCAUCUACAUCUUCCUUUAAAAACAUCUUUUGGAUCAAGUCAGUCUUCCAUCUGCUUUCAUUGUCUAUCAACUCUGAAACAAUAGCAUCGAAAGGCAUCCUUGGACUAGGAAACGGUUUGAAAAAGUGGAUGGUCUUGGAAUCCAAUUUCCUUUGUAGGCUAAGAUGUUUUACCCAUUACCAAUUCUCUAUCUAUAUCCAUUAAGAAUUACUUGUCGACCCCAAAGUAAGCUUCUCUAAAUAUAAGAUGGGUUUGGCCCCAUUGAAGCAUUUAGAAAAUCAGUCUUCUUGAAAAUACCUAGCCUUUAAAACAGUAGCUGCAAGGGAAUCUGGAUUUUGAAUCAAUCUCUAUCCUUGCUUAGCUACCAUGACUUGGUUAAAACUUGAUAUGUCUCUAAAGCCCAUUCCCCCUCAAAUUUUAGCUUGACUCAUCUUCUCCCCUCUGAUCCAAACGAUGCCCCUUUUUUUCCUUCUUUUUAUUGCUCACUAAAUAUCAUCACACAGACCAAUAGGUAUCUUGAAGACACUCAUUGCAUAAGCUGGUUGUGCCACUACUUUUAUCAGGACAUCUUUUCCUCAACUCGAGAAAAGUUUCUGUUGCCAACUAGAGAUCUUGCUCUAGACUUUUAGCUUAAUCUUAUUGAAGAAAAUUUUCUUUUUCCUCCUUAUCAUUGAGGGCAACCCCAAGUACUUCUUAUGCUUCGUUACCACAUUGAGCUGAAAUAUUCUUUUAAUGGCCGAAAUUUGGUUUGCACAGACACUGUCGCUGAAGAACAUGCAUGACUUUUCAAAAUUAAAAAUUUGGCCAGAGGUAGUGGCAUAGCAAUCGAACAAACCUUUUAAAUGCUGGAAAUCUUUAAUUGAGGCUUUGGAAAAAAAAUUAGGCUGUCAUAUGCAAAUAAGAGGUGAGAAAUAGAGAUAUGUUGUCCAAAUUUCAACCCAUGUAUUAACUUGCUUUUCUCAGCCUGAAUCAACAAAUUUGAAAGAGCAUCUGCAUAUAUUAUAAACAGAUAAGGAGAUAAAGGGCAUCCCUGCCUCAAGCCCCUUUUAGGAAUAAUCUUGCCAUUUGGUAUUCCAUUUAUGAUUAUAGAAAAGUAUGACGUAGUAAUGCAAUUCAUAAUUAAAUUUAUCAACUUCUUAGCAAAACCUAAUAUGAUCAUUGUCUCCUUUAAAAAAUCCCACUAUGCCCUAUCAUAAGCUUUGUUGAUAUCUAACUUCAGAGCCACCAAGCCAUUUUUUUUUUCCUUUGUUAUGCCUAAUCUUAUGGUGGCAUUCAUACUCAACAAUGAUAUUAUCCAUUAUCAAUCUGUUGGGGAUAGAACCACUCUACGAAGACUUAAUUACAACAUGUAGGAUAGUUUUCAAUCUAUUUGCAAUAGUUUUACAACAAUCCUAUAAAUGAAAUUACAAAGAUUUAUUGGUCUAAAUUCAGUCACUUUCCUAAGCUUUGCAUUAUUGGCAAUUAAAGCAAUGUAUGCGUGGUUCAAAGGAGCAAUGUUACUUGCUUCAUUGAGGAUGUGAAGACAUGUGGUGAUGUUAACUAAUGGCCAGUGCUUCAAAUAAAAGGCAGCCGGUAGCCCAUCAGGGCCUAGUGUCUUGGUUAGACACAUUUGAUUUAGAGCCUCCAUUAUCUUUUCCUCUGUAUAUGGUUGAGUCAGAUACUCAUUCAUUUAAGCUAAAACUUUUGAGACCAUUUCUUUCAAAGCACACUCCAUUUGAUCUUGAGUAGGGUUGGAAGUUGAAAAUAACUCUGCAAAGUAACUGCAGAACUCUUUCUCAAUAUCUUCAUUUUCUUCUACCCAUUUUCCCUAUGCAUCUUCAACUCCUCAAAUUUUGUUCUUCCUCUUUCUAGAUGAAGCUUUUGAGUGGAAGAAUUUGGUGCUUUUAUCUCCCUCCCUCAAUCAAUCAGCCCUAAACCUCUCUCUGUUUCCAAAAGAUCUCUUCAUCUAAAAGGAGGUUAUGGAUCUGCCUCUCAAUGCUUAUCAAUUCUUCACUCCUAUCCCACUGUCCUUCAUACUAGAGCUCUUAUAUUCUGUUCAUCAGCUUCUCUAAUUUCUUCUUGCUUCCUUUAAAAGUUUUCUUACUCCAGUGUAUUAAUUCAGUUAGUGAAGAUUUGCUGGCUUGUUUAAAAAGCUGCACUGCAUUAUCCCCUGACCAGUCUUUGGUCGAUUCUGCCUUUACAAUGUUCUUACACUCAUCAUAGUUGCUCCACAUGUCUUCAUAAUAGGUUCUUGAAAAGGUUAUUUUAUUAUAUGGCUUUCUAUUGGCUCUGCUUAUCACUUCCAUCAAAAUCGAAUUGUGGUCUGAGCACCAUAUAAUCAGAUUUUUUUGCAGCUUGGUUUUAGAAAGAAUUUGUCCAAUCAUUACUACAUAAAAAUCUAUCUAGACGUUUUUCAACAAAGUGGCUACCAAAUCUCCUAUUAGACCUGUAAAAGGGUGGCUUGUAUAACCCAAAUCUUUCAAAUUGUAAUCCUGAAUAUCAUCUCGAAACUCUUUAAUCAUAUGAACCUCCAUGUCUUUUCCUCCAUUUUUUUCAUCUAAGUGCAUUAUCUCAUUGAAAUUGCCAAAGCAUAACUAAAGGGGUGAAGAUAAACCUGUUAAUCUCCUUAAUAAAGCCCAGGUGUGUUUUUUCUGACUCGUUUCUAGGUGCCCGUAGAUUCUAGUGCAUCUCAUCUACUUCCCACUUUCAGUUCUACCUCAGUAUUUAUGCGGUGUUUACUGAAAGAGGUAAUAUCUACCCUUGUUGCUGAAUUCCAAAGCAUAGCUAGACCCCCAUUCUUACCACCUCUACUAACCCAAAAAUAAUUUUCAAACUUCAGCUUCUUGCCAACAUUUUCCAUGUGUACAGAUGUCAAUUUAGUUUCACAUAGAAACAUUAAUUGAGGCGUAUACCAUGUGAGGAAUUUUUGGAGAACUAUGAACGUCCGGUCAUUCCCCAUCCCCUGGACAUUCCAGCUUAGAAUCCUCAUAGCUGUCGGCAGGGUUGGUGUUCUGCCUCCGCCGAUUGAGUUGCAUUGUUUGUGUUUUUAACAUUUUCUCCAUUCUUGAAACAACCCAGUUGAGCUUAUAGCUAAGAGGAGAUGUAUUGCAGGAGCUUUCUCUAACUAUUGAGUUUUUCUGUGGGCUUAGGAUUUGGGUUUUUUUUUUUUAUGAUUUGGGCUUGACCUUAUUACUCCACAACCUAGUCUUUUUCCCACAAUUAGCCCUUCUUUUGUGUGUCCUUUGCUACUUACACUUCUAGCUGGCAGCUUUCACUUCUUUCUCUUAGGCCUAGCAUUUUUUGUUUUCGGUCCAUCACAUACUACUUCUCUGGGCUUGAGUUGCUUUGAUAUUUUUUUGGGCUUGUAUUUAGAGUUAAUUUUGGCUUCAAAUUUAGCACCAAAUUUAACUUUAUUCCCUCUCAAUUCUCUGUUCCCACUUUUUCUCUCUUUUUUCCAUGAUUGUUUAAGUUGUCGGCUGUAUUUUCGGUAUCAGCCAUGUUAGGUUACUUUUGACCGUGUCUUUCUGAUUUCUUGGUUCUAGAGUCAUUUGUAUUAAUUACUCCCCAAUUUUCCUUGUUUAACUAUCAUGAUCUCCCCGAAAUAGAUUAGUUUGACUCGAGUUCAUGUUUAUACGGGUCUAAACCAAUUUGUUUUGCCUGUCUUCUCCCAUGGUGUUCUGCUUCCUUUGGUUCGUUUUUGAGCUGCUCAAACCUUUUAUUCCAUCUAUCUUUUCCCAUGUUCAUCCUAGUUUUUUCAACUUUGGACAAUGCCUUCAUGUACACUCCAUAGGGUAAUUUUUUUUUUUUGGUUGCCCCAUGUAUGAUUCACACUCUUUAAAUUGGUACCAAACGGUACCCCAGCAAAAGCAGAAAUCUGGGAGCCGUUCAUACAAUACUGGCAACUCCACCUUAUCAUCUUCUUCUAGCUCCAACCAUUUUCUGUAAUGGCUUUGUGAUGUCAAUGGAUAUUCUGACUCUUGCAUACAAACCAAUACACUCCCUGUCAUCAUCAUUUUCAACUUCCAACACCUCUCCAAUCAGUCCUCCCAGCUUUUGAACAUUGUCUCUCUCUAUGCAAACAAUGGGUAUAUUGUGAAUUCAUACCCAAAAAAGUGUAUGCGUGAAUUCUUCCUUUCUCAUGUUUCCUAUUCCACUGGGUUCUUUCAACACAAUCAAAGCCCUAUCGAAAUGACAUGGCUCUCCUGCCAUUAUUUUCUGUUUAUCAACUUCUAACCCAAAUUUGAACCGAAAAAUAUUGUUUCUCAUGCUCUCAAUCUUCACCUUUUUUGUUGUUUUCCAUGCUUGUGUUAAUGCAGUUUUGAUCACAUCCGUGUGGACACUCUUUGCCAAUAGAAUUUUUCCAACUAGAGAAUUUUCCAUUAUACGUCCUCUUUUUCCUUGCAUUCCGCUUCUAAUUGAUAGCUUUCGUUCACUGCCAUCUCAUAUAAAAAUAGCUUUGCAUUUACAUAUUAACUCAUCUGUGUCCAUAGAUGACGAACAACAAGUUUGCUCUUUACCUGCUAACUACCCUGUGUUUGAAUCUCGGAGUUUUACUCACUCUCACCCACUCUCUUAAAUGAACUCCCUCGAUUUUUAACUUCCUUGAUAAUUUUAAAUAAAAGACACUCAAUCUAAAAGACAUUGAAUUUGCAAAGUUUCAAUGGAAAUAUAUGUCUCUUCUUGCCAUUCUUUGCCCUCUCAACAUCGAAAAAAUUUCAUUUUAUUAGUUUUACUUUUAUGAAGAAUUUGAGUGUUCCAAAAGUAGUCAUGGCAAAUCCAACCUUUCCCACUUGUAAUCAAGCAUUUGAGUAUUAUCAUAACUUGUUUUGGAGGUAUAAGUGUUGCCGUGAAAGAUGCUAUAGGUAGCUUGCUUUGGAUUUCACUUCAUGCAAAAAUGGUCUUAAUCGAAUCAGAAACUCAUAUAGGUCUUAUUUCAUAUUAAGGUGUUCCAACUUUUAAAUUAUAGUUGUUGUAUGAAUGGUCUUAGUAAUAUGUAGUAAAAAAAAAUUUAAAAAUUUUUUUUAACAAAAUUAGUAAAUAUAUAUAAUAAAUUUUUUUAUCAUACAAGUAUAAAAUCAAAUUAACUUAGUUUCUAAGUUACAACAGCUAGUGCUUACUAGCUUUUAAGUUACAGUUGCUCAACCUCAAACCCCAAACUAGACCAUAAUUGGAAAGUACUUGACAAAUGUAUGCAACUUACUGUGCUUGUACACAAGUUCAAUUUAACAUUUCAGUAAUGUGCACGCAAAUAAAGGUUGCUCUAACUUGCUGCAAAUAAUGUAAGUUAAAAUUACAAAAGAGUGUAUUAUGCUAAAGGAUAUUCAUAAUUUUUUUAAGAAAUCAAGUUACUCUAAUUCACAUCCUUUUUUUUAAGGAUUUGCAUUCGAAUGAAAGCAUGAACGAAACAAGUAAUGGUGAGCUGGCUAUCUUCAGAAAUAAUCAUAUAUAUAAAUUUUAUUUUAUAAAAUUUUGCCAUAUUGCAAUAAUUAUAUAUUGAAGGGUCUUCAUUUGUAUAUAACACUAGGUGUUAGGUAUGUUUGCUUAUUGGUAUUUCUUUGACAAAAAUAUGUGAUAGUGCCCUUAGAAACACAGGUACAUAAUCAUCGAAAAAUCAAGUUUUCUUAAAAUUUAUGUGGAUGAUUAAUGAUGUAUCUUUUUUUAUCAGGUAUUUAAUUCAUUUGUAUAUGCAAAGGCCAUAUCUAUAAAUCAAGAUAAAUAUUUACGAGAAACAAAAAUGAAAGUGAAACAGAAUUAAAUUCAAGUUGUCCAACGAGAUAAAUAAUGAGUCCUAAUUCUCUUAUUCAUAUUUCCCUUAGAAACCCGGAUACUUCAUUAUAUAUUUCCAUCAGCCCAUAUAUUUCUUAGAUAUGAUUUUUUUUUCACUUCUUCAAAAGGAGCUACAUGUUUCUUACUUUGCAAAGGAUCCUGGCACAGAACGAGCAAGCUUGUGUGGACAUCCCUGACUGUUGGUAGGGAAAUUUAUGCCAAAAUGGGGAAACUGCAGAAUGGAUUGCAAGUGAUUCUAUUGUACUAGUUACCAAAAUAGGAUACUUAUGACAGCGGUUGCUGAUUUUUCCACGUGUUCAUAUUUCUUCCAAUAUAACCCAAGUAGUUCAUAACAUUGUAUAUAAUGAUGUAGUUCGACAAGUGUUGCGUAAGAAUCACAACAAUGCAAUUGCAUCCAUAUUGAAUAGGGGUGGGCACAAUUGGGUUUGAAUCAAUCCAAUCGGAUUUCGAGUUAGUUGGAUUGAGAAAAAAGUUAUUCAAACUCAAUCCGAACUGGAAUAUGAUCUAAUCUAAUCCGUAUGUAUUCGGAUUAGAUCAAAAGUUCGGGUUUAGUUCAAGUUGACUGAGCUAGGAUUAUAAACGGAUCGAAUUGUGUUCGGUUUAAAAUUGGACUUGGGUCGAUUCGAGUCAUGGGCAAUUUUGAGCUUUUAUUUUGUAUAUUUUGAGUUUUCUUUACAAAUUAUGUAGUUACUAGAAAAUUAUUUUCAUAUAAUUAUCUCAUUUUAGUCUGUUUUUACCAAUUCUAAAAAAAAAAUGAAAACUACUAGUCUACUACCAUUAAAAUCAAAUGUAUACAAAUUAAAAUAAACACAAAUUCUAAAUUUAAUAGCCUCCACCCAAAGCACGAUAUUCAAAUAUAAAUAGCCUUCAAAACACAAAGAUCACAAAGUUUAAAUAUAAUUAAAUAGUUUCCAAUACAAAGUCUAAAAAUAAAUUGUUUCUUAAACAACAAAAUCUAAACAUAAAUAUUAAAUAACCUUCCUUCACGUAAAUAUUUGGACAAGUUCUAACUUCAACUUCUUGUAUUCGAAGUUGGAGGAUGGAUCGCCUAGAGAAGAAUUGAAGAGAAAAAGUAAAUUAAAAAAUUACAAAUUUAUGCAAAGAUAUUGAUUUACUUUUCUUUUCUUUUCUUUUUUGCUAUUGGUGAAUUUGAAUGCAACUGUUGGAACUUGGAAUAUAGAUCAUUCAUGUAUGUAUCAAACAAAUAAUUGAACCACUUGUCAUCCACUCAUCCUAUCGUUUAGCCAAAACCAUGUUACUUGCAAUUCCUUCACCAUCCUCAACUAUCAACUUCUGCUGAUUUUCAUCUUGUUGUUGUUGGAAUGUCUUGUAUAUGUUAUAAAUUUUUAUAUUAUUUCUCAGAUUGGUAAUCUCCUCAUGCCUUGAAUGGCAUUGAUAGUGUUUACCACAAUAGUUGCACUAGCAUUUGUUUGAAUUGUCCUUAAAUAAAGUGAGAUGAUUCCACAUUAGAAAUCUUUUUUUUCAUUUGCUGUAUUUUUCGCCUGCUUCGCCUUUUCCCUCCCUUUUUGAUUUCCUUUUAGUUGUUCACUUUGUUCCUCAUCAUCAAUUGUGAAAUUUAAUCUUGAGUGUCUAGUCACUUGAACAUACAAAAAAAUGAAUAGUCAUCAUUAAUUCAAAACAUAAAACUAUUAAAAUAUCACCACAACACUCACAAUCUCAAACAUCCUCAGUACAUUUAAAAAUGAGUGCUGCUAUUUACCCCGAAUUUGCACCCCGAAAUCAAAACGCACCGUUUGCUCUGAGUUAAUCACGGGUCCAUUAUCUUGCUUUAUAUAAAGGAAAGGAAAAAGCUGGGGAAAGAAAAAGCAAAAGCAAAGUUGUUUCUUCACGUGUUUCUUCAGUCAACGUGUGGGCCUAACUAGAAAAUUUGUUGUGUCCAGCUGUGGUCUGCUAAUUUUACUUUGCUUUGCUAUUUUUUUCAUUCUUUGUUAUUUCCUUCUUUGUAUCAGAUGAUGAUACAUGCAUCAAACACAAUAACGAAAAUUGAACGAGAGUAAGAGAACGAACCAUCGAUCAAGAGUUGAGGGAAGAGGGGAAAAAAAGAGAUUGAAUUAAGAUGCAAGUGGCGUGGUUGAGUGGAUUUGAAACCAAAAAUGGAAUGAAAUCCUCCUGACUUAACAAACGAAUCUGCCUGAAGAAAAAGAGUGCUGCUAACUGGAAAGAGAAAUGGAAAGUGAAAGCAAAAUGUUUACCUUGCUUUACGGGCCUAACUAGAGAAGUGGAAAGUGAAAGCAAGGAAGUAGAAAGUGAAGGCAAAAUGAAGCAACACGUGUAGAGAGAAAAAAGUAAACGGUGUGUUUUGAUUUCGGGGCGUAGAUUCGAGGAGCAAAUUCGGGAUAAAUAGCUUUUCCUUUAAAAAUCACAAAUAAUAAUAAGACUAGGAUAAUUGUGCUAAAAAUAAUUAACAAUACAAUUUCAAUUAAUAAAUUAAUUAGUCUCAAUCUAAGCAAAAAACAAUGAAACGGAAUUUUACAUGAUGAUUAUUUAGGAAUAAAAUUUUAACAUACAUUUUCUUAUAUAAAUUUAUAGGGUUUGAUUUGUAUUGAAAUUAAAAUUAAAAAAUAUGAUCUCUAUACUCCUAUUCACUAAAUUACUAAUUCUAACUAAAAUCAUGGAUAAAUUGUGACUUUUUCUUGCUGAGUAGUCUUAUUAAGCAUACAAAAAUCAUUGAACUUGAAAAGUUAUAAACGUAAUAGAAAUUUGGAAAUUAAUUAUUUAAUAUAAUAUAUAUAGUAUAGUAAUGUUCAUUGAAAAAAGUAAGUUGGAGGAACUUAAUGGCUAUCGAUCAAGGUGGAGCAAGUUGCAGCAGUGGUCAUGGUGUAUUGUGUCAGCAUGUCAUAGACUCACGAUGGCCUGGCUUCAUGCAGUUGCGUUGGUGAGUCAGUGACUACUGUUGUGUGUGUGUUGUCUGGUGAGUCUACUGUGUUGUGUAUCUUGUCAUGCAAACUGCUAUGCCAAUUACUAUGCUGCCACUGAUUUGUAGGUAUGCAUGAAUGCUUAGUACAUGUGUGGUGCUUUUUUUUUAAAAAAAAGAAAGUAAACCUUUCACAAAUCACAAUACAUCAAAUACAACUUGAAUCUUAGUUGGGAUAGUUCCUAACCAGAUAGAAGAAGAGUUUCUCCCCAAAGCUAACUUAACUAAGGAAUGGGCAUAAGCAUUACAUUAUCUUGGAGUAUGAUGGACUGAAACUUUAUGAAAAUCCUUCAACUAAUUUUGGAUCUCUAGAAUUGUCCAAAAUUUUUUUGUUUUGCUACCCUUAGUGUUGUUUACUAACUGGACCAACUCUAAGCAAUCUGACUCAAUGAUCAAGGAGGCUAAAUUUGCUUCUCUCGACACUUGAAUUCCACAUAACAUAGCCUCGGCCUCUACAUUACUUACCGUUCCCUUUAGAGAAGAUUGAUUGAUGCCAGCUGCAAUUACCUUGCCGUUUGUUCCUCUGAUGACUACUCUCACUCAUGUAGUCUGAUCCUUGGCAUUAAUGGCAGCGUCGACAUUAACUUUGAAGACAUUUUCGGGGAGGGGGGGGAAUCCACUUCUGCAGCUUCUCUCCACUGGAGUAGGCAAUAUGAGAGGGGUAUGUCUUCCUUACUCUUUGAAAUGCAUCCAAAAUAGACUUUGCCUUUGCAGUUGAGAUAUUGAGGGCUAUCUUCUUGCCUUCGAAAAUAAAUUUGUUUCUAGAAAACCAGACAGCCCAACACAAAGCUACCAUUAAUUCCAAAUCAGCUUUCCUUAACUCAUUGGCCAUUCCUUGCAAAAUGCUAAAAAUGUCCUGAGAAUGAUCUUUAAAGCUUGGAACUGUAAAGGGAGAUUGUAGCCAGAUCGAUUUUGCUGCCUUGUACUCCAAUAAGGCGUGGCUUAUAGAUUCUAUGCUCUUUCUACAUAUUUGACAAGUUGGCUCUUGAAUGACUUUUCUUUUCCACAUAUUUUCUGUUGAUGGGAGCAAAUUGUUUGAUGCCCUCCACAUGAAUAUUUUUAUUUUUUCAGGUAGCUCCAGGGACCAAAGGGCACUCCAAUACUGAGACAUGCUCUCUAAGCUACUAGGAGCAUUUGGAAAUUUCAUUCUUAAGGCUAGCUGGUACCCACUUUUGACCGAGUAUUCUCCCCUUUUAUCAUAAUGCCAUAAAACAUCAUCAUCCAAAUGUUCUUUUGGGAGAGGAAUCUUAAGAAUCAUUGCUGCAUCUACUUUCAUAAAGUGUUAGUUCAAAUUGUCUUCAUCCCAAUGGUUAUCUUCCUUAUUUAGGUUUGCCACCACUAUGUCUGCUCGCAAAGUAGGGGGGCGAUUGGCUUGAACGUAUCCGGCCUUGGCAGCCAAUUAUCCUUGUAAACAUAUAUGUUCUUGCCAUUGCCCACCCGCCAUCUAAAACCUUUCUUGAUUACUUCUCUGCCCCAAAGAAUGCUUUUCCAGAUGAAUGAAGCAUUGGACCCUACUGAUGCACCUAGAAAGCUGGAGUUCUUGUAAUAUCUUGCUUGAAGGACUCUUGAGACCAGAGAAUUUGGGUACUGCAAAAACCUCCAAGCUUGCUUUGCCACCAAGGCUUAGUUAAAGCUAGUAAAAUCCCGAAAUCCCAUCCCACCUCUGUUUUUUGCAUGGCUGAGCUUUUCCCAUUUUAACCAAUGGAUACCUUGCUUAACUUCCUUCGUUCCCCACCAAAACUUCGCUAUAGCCCGUUGAAUGUCAUCACAAAGACCUCUCGGAAGCUUGAACACACUCAUUGCGUAAGCUGGGAUAGCUUGGGCUGCCGCUUUAAUAAAGAUUUCCUUACCCCCACUCGAAAACCUUUUAUGCUGCCACCAUGUGAUCUUGUUUAAAACUUUUAGCUGCUGCCACCAUGUGAUCUUGUUUAAAACUUUUAGCUUUACUUCAUCGAAAAAGCUUAGCUUCUUUCUUCCUAUCAUUGAGGGGAGGCCUAAGUAUUUUUCAUGCUUGGAGACCACAUUUAACUUGAAAAUGUCUUUAAUAGCAGUUGGAUUGUUGUCGAAAAUCUCCUUCAGAUGCUUACAAUCAGCCACUGAAGCACGAUAAAAAACUAGGUUAUCAUUCGCAAAUAGCAAGUGGGUAAUUGAGACUUCUUUUGCAAAUUUCAGACCUUGGAUUAGCUGAUUCUUUUCCGCCUUCACCAGCAUAUUGGAGAACGCCUCAGCACAGAUGAUAAAGAGAUAUGGAGAUAGCGGGCAGCCCUGCCUCAGACCUCUUUCCGGCUGAAUCAUUCCCUUUGGCACACCAUUAAUAAUCACCGAGAGUGAGGCAGUAGAGACACACCUCAUAAUCAAAUCCACCCAAUUAGGUGAGAAACCCAGCCUUAACAAUGUUUGAUUAAAAAAAGACCACUCAAGUCUAUCAUACGCCUUACUAAUAUCUAGCUUAAGAGCCACAAGAUCGUUCCUCUUCCAUUUACAGUGUCUUAUCUUAUAGAGGCAUUCAUAACCAAUAAUAACGAUGUCUAUAAUGAGUUUAUUGGUUAUAAAUGCACUCUGCAUUGGAGAAAUGAUUUGGGAGAGGAUCAGUUUCAUUCUAUUUGCAAUAGCCUUAACUACGACUUUAUAAAUUACAUUACAAAGGCUUAUGGGCCUGUAAUCAGAGACUCUCCCAGGCUUAGCAAUUGUAGGGAUCAAGGCGAUAAAAGUAUGGUUAAGAGGAGACGGGUUACCUUGCUCAUUAAGGAUAUGAAGACAUGUUGUAACAACUCUAUUGCGAAUUAAUUUCCAAUGCUUCUGAAAAAAUACAGCAGUUAAGCCAUUUGGACCUGAGGCUUUUGUGGGGCACAUAUGUCCUAGCCUCCUCUAUAUCCUUUGGAGUGAAGGGCUUCUCCAGCUGGGCAUUCAUUUCUGAUGUUACUUUUGUCGGCAUUCCUUGAAGAGCAGCUUGAAUUUGGCUUGGAGUUGGGCUGGAUGUAGUGAAGAGUUCUUAAAAGUAACAGCAGAAUUCCUUUUCUAUAUCAUCUAUCUCCCUUAGCCAGACGCCUUGAGAGUUUUCUACCCCCCACACCUUAUUCUUUUUUUUACGGGCAGAAGUCUUGGCAUGGAAAAACUUAGUGUUUUUGUCUCUUUCUCUUAGCCAGUCAGCCCGCGAUCGUUGCUUCCAAUAGAUCUCCUCGUCAAUAAGCAUGGAAUUGAUAUAGCUUUCAAUCUUCCUGAUCUCCUCUCCAUCAGUCAGUUUAGAGCUUCCUUGCAUAGCAUUCUGAAGGCUCUGAAACAACUUUUCUUGUUUUCUUUGUCUUCCUUCAAAUUCGUUUUUACUCCAAAGUUUAAGCUAAGCUAAAGACUUUUUUGCUAUCCACUGAAAUUGGUGAGCAGGAUCCUCCCAAGCUCUAGCCCCAUAGUUUCCCCACUCAUCCUUUACUAUGCUCCUACAGUCUUCGUAAGAACUCCACAUAUCCUCAUAGUGGUCACGGGGAAACGAUCUGCUCACAGUCCUCGACUUCUUGCAUCUCUAUUUGAAUUCUAAGACUAUUGGGCAGUGAUUUGAGACCCAAUUAACAAGGUUUAUGGCUGUAGAGUCUUAAAAUUUGUUGCCUCAAUCCUUACUACACAAGAAUCUGUCCAGCCAUUUUUCUAUGUAAUUAGAACCAAAUCUCUUAUUAGACCAUGUAUACGGGUACCCCUUGCAGCCCACAACCUCUCUAAACUCGACAACCACAUUUACAUUCUUCUCGUUGCUCCCAUUUUUCUCAAACAUAUGCAUCACUUCAUUGAAAUCCCCAAAGCAACACCAAUGGUGGGACGAAAGAUUAGCUAACCUUUUUAGAAGGGUCCAUGUGCUGCGCUUCUAGCUGAGCUCUAGGUGGCCAUAAAUCCCCGCACAUCUCCAAACCAAGCCACUUUCACUACUCACUAUUGCAUCUAUAUGGUGGGGCCUGUAUGAGGUGAUAUUGACAUUAAUGUCUGCUCCCCAGAGCAUAGCUAGGCCUCCACCCAAACCAUUUCUGUCCACAGCAAAACAAUUUACAAAAUUAAAACUUCUGUAAAUUAAAUUGACCUACCUAGCCAUCAUCUUAGUUUCACAACAAAAUAGUAUUUGGAGCCGGUGCAGUUAUAGAACUUUUCUAAUUGCUAAGUGCGUUUGAGGCUUCCUCAGACCUCGAACGUUCUAGCUGAGGAUCUUUAUGGUUGUCGGCGAGGCUGAUCAUCAGUACCCGCCAAUAGGUCUUCAUCCAUUGCUUCCAAGUUUUCCCCUGCAUCUAGCACUUAUUCUGCUUGCUUCAGCUAGCGAGCUACUUUGUUGGGGCUAAAAUGGUUGCAGUUGCCUAAUGCUUUUGCUAGGCUUAUGUGUUUUCCUUCCUACAGUUGCUUUUUUGGACUGGACACUCACUUCUUUUUGCUCUCUGGGCUAGGCCCAUGACCUUCACUGUUGUGUCUUUUACUUCCUAUGAAAGUAAUAUUAUUUGCUCCUUCUCCUUUGGUGUUUCUUGCCCGUAAUUUCCAUUUUCUUCCUUUGGAUUUCACGGUGGCCUUGCUGGCCCCAUCAUCCAAAUCCUCUUCAUCUGAUCUGGCACCCCAUGUGUCCUCCUCCAUUUUAUUUUCCAUCUUCCCCACAUUAUCUUUUUCUACAAGAUUUUCAUUUUCCCUCCAAUCCUUCUUUUCUGCCUUUUUUUGCGUUCAUAUCUAGAUUGGCACCACCCUGCAAGAUUUUCAUUUUCAUUACUAGUCACUCUGUCCUGCAACUUGUUGAUGUCACCACCCUGCUUUAAUGCACCACUUGCUGGUUUUCCUGCUAUGUUACACUCAACAUUAGAUGCUGCCCAUCAGCUCUUGGUUCCUUGUUUUUACCCACUGGUUCAUCACCAUUAUCUAUCUCCGGACCCGAUUCGAUCAGGUAAGACCCAUUUUGACUAUCCGAGUUGUUUUGAGACUGGUAUGGCCUUAGGCUAGUUGUUGCUGAAUCAUUUGCUCUGGAAUGGAAUUGUUCUCAAUUGCCUUUCCCUUUACUUCGAUUUUGUUUUACCCUUUCAGCCUGAGUGACUGCUCUCAUCCAUCCCCGUAAGGCAGAUCCUCCUUUUGUUGUCCUUUGUACCUCAGGCACUCUCUGUACUGAUGACCUACAUGCGCGCAACAAAAGCAAAAGUCCGGUAGCUUUUCAUACAGGAUUGGCAUUGGAAUUUUUCCUUCAUCUUGUUGUAAAAACACAAUCUUUUUUAAUGGCUGAGUAAUGUCAAGGGAGAUUCUUACUCGAGCAAAUUGUCCUAUGCAAUCCCCGGCUUCGUCUGUCUCUAUUUUCUUGACCUCACUAAUCUUUUCACCUAGUUUUUCAAUUGCCUCCUUGUUCAUGCACAUUAUGAGUAUAUUUUGGAUCUGCACCCAAAAUGUUGUAUGCGUAAAGAAUUGAUUUUUGAUAUCACCAAUGUCGGAUGGUUCGAUCAAAACUAUCAGUGCUCUGUCAAAAUGCCAUGGCCUUCCUAUAAGCAGUCUUUUCUUUUCUUAUUCUGAAGCAAACUUGAAGAGAAGAAUAUUAUCCCCCAUGCUUUUAAUUUUUACCUCCUUCACUAUUCUCCAAGCCGUUUGCAUAGCUGUUUUCAAGCCUUCCCAGUUUAUGCUUCGUGAAAGCAACACCUUCCCUACUAGACAAUUCGCAGCAACUUCUUCUCCCUUAAUCCUCAUUUGCCCCAUGAAUGCUACUAUGCCUGCUUCUUCUUCUUUUAGAACGACAGCCUGACACUUGCGCAAUAAAUCCUCUGUAUCCAUACUUAGCUCUGAAUCCACCUACCCUCUAUUAUCCGCAAAUAAAAGCUAAAAGAAGGAGUCAAUCACCCAAAUUCCUUCAAGAAGUACUAUGGAAAAUUGUAAAAGAACACCCAACUAGUGAGCGAAUGAAAAAGCCAAAAUAGGCUUCAGUCUCCUUUCAUUCUAGUACCUUUCAGAGAAAAAGUACUAUAAAAGAAAGAGUAUAUGUGUCAUUGUUAUUCUGUACAUGUGUGGUGUUAAUCGAAUACAAUUAGGUUUAGUUUUACUCUUUUAUAGUUUUAGAUUAAAUAUUUAUUUUAGAUACGAACCUUGACCAAUUCAAAUCAAUUCUACUAACUGAUUUUUAAUCCAAAAUAAUAUAUAUAUUUAGUUUUCAUCAAACGGCUGAGAAAUGGGCCAAGCCCGUAUGCACACGUGUGAAGACCUGUUUUAUGUUUUGUCAAUUUGGAGUAGUGCAAGUAUUUUGAAAUUAACUGAAGGGAAAGCUAAGUGCGUAUUCAAACAUGCUGGUGAUGAAUUGCUCCAUGAUAAUUCGUUUUCCAAUUUAUGAGACGAAAGGAUGGUUUUGAGUUUGAUACCACAAUGCCUCGUCUUUCUUUUAUCCUUGUGAUUUUUGAGAAUUGCAGUCUCAAUUGGAAUGAGAGAGGAAGUGUAUGUGAAACGUAUAGGUAUAGAGCUUGGCCUUACGCCAAUACAAUUUUAUUGAGAUAACCUAUAUUGGCUUUUACAUAAACACAGUACAUGUAUAAAAAUUCAGAAAACAAGAUUAAAUCUGAGAGAAUGCUUUAUCAAUCUAAUGCUUUUUCUUGGUAACAUAAGAAGAGGUGUCGAGAAAGGGAUAAUCCGUGUAACCAACAACAGGAUCGGAAACAUAGAAUGUUUCUCUGUUGUACUUAUUGAGGGGGGCAUUGAACUCAAAUCUCCUGGGUAAAUCUGGAUUAGCCAAGAACAAGCGACCAUAAACAACAAGAUCUGCACGGCCUUCAGCAAUAGCUUUGUUUCCAUCUUCCCUGUCAUAACCCCCAGCGACAAGAAAAGUACCCUUGAAAGCCUUUCUCAUGGGCAGCAAACUGUGAGGACAUUCAGAUUUUUCUCCAACUGUUUUCAUCCUCGGAUCAACCAUGUGACAAUAGAGGAUACCAUAUUUGUUCAAGGAUUCUGCCAUGUAAAGACCUAAAGCUUCUGGGUUAGAGUCUCCUGAUUCCAUAUAGUUUGCAAACGGAGAUAGUCUUAUCCCAACCCUAUCUGCCCCUAUUUCAUUGGAAACAGCUUCAACUAUUUCUAAAGCAAAACGGCAACGGUUCUCUAAGGAUCCUCCAUACUGGUCUGUUCGAUCAUUCACUUGAUCCUUCAUAAAUUGGUCAAUUAGGUAGCCAUGUGCACCGUGGAGCUCAAUGCCAUCGAAACCUAUACAGCAUAAGACAAAGUUAGAAACCAAAAACCUGUACAGCAUGAACACUCCAUUUAUCUAACUCUUCUCAUAUAACUGAAAGCUCUGAGGCUCGCAUUGUGCGGACAGACAGACGGAGGGUCUAGCUUUCAUUUUAAGAACAAGAAAAAGUAUUUAAGCAUUUACUAGGUUGGCUCUCAAAGUUAAGGUUUAAGUUUUCAAAUUCUUUAUUCAAUAUGAUAAAUACAACUAUGGGACAAUAAGCAUAAUUGUAAAGAAACUUAAUUGUUUUCACAUAAACCUUACAGUACAAUAAAACAACAUUAUUUACAAGCCACAAAAGCCUAGUAAAAAUCUAUUAAUGCAUUUAUGUUUAGUUUCCCUUUCCUUCUGAUAGCCAUGCAUGGAAUGGAAGAAUCUCACUAUUCUUUUAUACUAUUUUCCUUAAUCUCAAGAAAAGUAGACCAUUGAAAUAUCACCCAUCCUGUGGCGACCUUAAAACACUUAUUGCCCACAAUUCAAUUUUUAAUUUCAGAAAAAAGAAUUUACCAGCCUCAAUUGCGUUUCUUGCAGCAAGCCUGAAAUCAUUCACAAUUUGAGGGAUUUCAUCUGUCCUUAGCCGCCUUGGACGAGUGAAUUGUGCAAUAUCAACACCAUUAGCGCGGAUUUGAGGUGUCAAUGGCUUGUCUGUACUGGAAAUUGGAGCUUGACCAUUUGGCUGAUAAUCUGUACAGUUCGAAGACAGGAAAAACCAAUGAAGAUCCAGUUGAAAUGAUUCUCAAAUUUCUAUAAAAUCAGUCAGAUCCAUCACAUGGAGGUUUUAAAAAAACUAUUGAAUGUCAUUUUAUUAACUGAAAAUAAAAUGCAAAAGGAUGGUGCAUCUGUAGGAUGAUCAGUACUCAAUUUGAGCAUUUGAUUAAUCCGAGCUGCUUAUUCUCUCAACACUUGCCUCAUAUUAGAUUACUGCAAUUCAAUAGCUUAAGCUCACGGUACCUUAUCUUAUUGUCAGAAAUAAAAUGUAUGUAUGAUCCUGAUAACUAAGUAACCAGUAACUGUCAAUAGAAGAGAGAGAUAUAGAACACACCUUGAUUUGAAACCCUGCCAACGUGCCAAAUCUGACAAAAGAAGGUCCCACCUUUGGCAUGAACAGCAUCUACAAUUGGUUUCCAUGCUUCAACUUGCUCCUUUGUCCAGAUACCAGGCGUAUCUGGAUACCUUACAAUAAAAGAAAUAACAGAACACACAAGAUUUUCAAGCAACUAAAUACAGGUAAUGCUUUCGAAACUCAAACAUACAAUUUCCUAUCUAUUUAAUGCCUCAAAAAACUCUUAAAACAGUUAAACGGAUGUAAAAUUACCCUUGAGCAGUGUCGGAAACUCCAGUGGCUUCGGCUAUAAGCAAACCCCCUUUGGUGGUUCUUUGAGAGUAAUACAAAAUGGCAUGUGGCUGAGGAACAUUGUUGUAUGAUCUCUGUCUAGUCAGUGGUGCCAAAACAACUCUGAAAUAAACAAAACAAGCAAGCCGCAAUUCAAUUAGCCCCAUCACCAAUAACUCAAACUCAAAAGAAAAAAACCCAUAAAAUUGCAACAUUACACUUAAACUGCCUCUGUAAAACUCUCAGUCAGAUCAUAGACCAAACGAACAAAUACAAAGAAGAUACAGAAACUAAAUCAGAUCAUACAUUCUAAUCAGUUAAGGGUAUUAUAAGUUAAUAACCGGGCGUGCUUCUGCUUAAUUACCAAAAUAGGACAGUUAAAAAGUGUUCCGUAAACACCAACAGUUUUACUCGAUAGCUACUGAUUCACUCCACAUAGAGACUGUGAAUUAAAAACCACAGUAACUAAAUCCCAAAUAUUUCCUAAUCCAUUCCAAAUAUUCACUAAUCCAUUCAUUCUAAAUGGACAAGGAUUCAGUGGUCCACUGCGUUUGCGCUGAGCCCUGGAUAAACAGUGAGAAUCUGAGUGCUCAUGAUGUGAAUGCUCGCCACUCAAAUGUACUUUGGCAGAUAUCACUUUCGUCAAUAAAGUUAACGCCAUACAAAAAUCCAUACAGCGAAAGAAAAUGUAAAUCCAAAAAAAUAAAAAUAAAAAACUCAAUGAAAUAAAAGGUGGGUACAAUCGGUACCUAUGAGAAAGAUUGAGACUGCCCAUAUUGUAAGGAGUGAGAAGAGGGAUGAUGGGAGUUUCAAUGGCCAUGUUACCGUUGUUCUCUUCUUGAUUUUGCUUAGUCUCCUCUGCUCUGCUUCCCAUGUUUAGUAGAAUUACAAGCAAAUUGAGAAUCCUUAACGCGACUGAAAAUAAAAUGAUUAAAGAAACGGAAGGGUUCAAUUGGGUAUUUAUAGAUCGGAAUGGGUCGACCGUUUUGGAAUAUAAAAAAAUUCCACGAGGGUCGAGUCAGUCUCCAUUGCCAUUGGAUUCAAUGUUCACAUAUGUUUAAAAUGCUUUUAAUCGCUGGCACGUGACGUUUGCAAGUACGUAGCCGGCUGCUGUUGCCUGUCUUUGAACAGCUAACCAAUAUGCUUUUAUUUUUAAUAAUGAGAUUCUAAGGGCUGUUUGGAAUUAUUGUUGAGAAAUUUAAAAAUAAUUUUUAAAAGUUAAUAGUUAAAGAUGUUAUUUAAGUUGCAUAUAUAAGAAAGCCUAAUUUUUAGAUAUCUCCCUAUUAUUAUUCUCAUUCAUAAUUAUCCAGAAGGGAAAUUAUCCACCGUCCAUCCGUUUUUUCACCAUUUUUUAAAAAUACGCAAAUCUUUUUUUUUUUUUUUACAGCGCUCCACUUGAAGUUAAUAUUUUUUUUCAUUGGUCCACUUUCGUUAUAACACCGUUAGAACUUUGCUAACAUCAUAAGGGUAAAAUUAUCAUUUCACAACAACAUGGUGGUGGACAAAUGCAAACCAAUAUAACUUCAAGUAGGGUUAAGCAAACAAAAAAUUAAGAAUUGUGUAUUUUUGAAACAAUACGAAAAAAAAGUGGUCGGUGGAUAAUUUAUGUUUUACAUUUGAGGGUAAAAAAAUUAUUUAUACAAUAUUCCGUUAGUUUUCUUAACAGUCUCCAAACGGAAGUGGACGAGUGAAAAGAAAUAUAAAUUCAGGUGGAUUCCAGCAAAAAAAAAAAAAAAGAAUUGUGUAUUUUUGAAAAAAUUGAAAAAAACGGAUGGACGGUCGAUAAUUUCCCUAUCCAGAAAUUAAGAUUUUUUUCUUAGUAAAAAUCUAUAUUUGAUAAUUUUCACCUCGAAAAUAAAAUUCGUUUCUUUGUAAAAAUUUCAUAUAUGACAAUCUUCACAUACAGUAGAAUUCAUAGUUUUACCAAUUAAUUCUUUAUUUUGUUAAUCUUUCCAGAGGAAAAAAAAGUACUUUCAUACUUAUAGCUUAUUUUUUUGCACAGAAGGUGUAACUUAAAAGGUAUAAUACCUCAAUCCCAAACAUGUCUUACCUUAGUGUUAAAUGGCUGUAAGCUUGGGUUACCAACAAACAUGAUGUUACCUUCUUUGAAACAAUUAUAUUUGUCGUCAGUUGAAGCGGAUGAUCAUGUUAUUAAAAAUUUAAUUGCUAGGUGUUUGUGAUUGAGGUUAUAAGUCUCAGAUAUUGGAGAUGGUUAAAGGUCUCGAGUUAGUUGGUCUUAGUAAACUCAAUGAGAUCAAGAUAUGGAACAAUUAACAUGAGGAUCUUAAACUACUAGCAAUCAGAGGAUUGAUUGUCCAUUCAAUUCACAUUAGGAAGUUCCUGUUUGUACCAUUUGAGAUCAGCAUAGCCUUUUCUAAGAAUCUUAAACCCUUGAAAUUUAGCAUGGCUUCCAUAACAGAUUCAAGAGCGGCUUUAGUAUUAAGUUAACUAAAUGAUGCUCCAAUUUUUAGAAAGACCCCUAUAUUUGAAAUUUAUUUGAUUAAAACACUAAUGAAUAAUUAUUCUUCUAACAUUUCAAAGAUGUUAUUUAAGUUGCAUAUAUAAGGAAGUCUAAUUUUUAGAUAUCUCCAUAUUAUUACUCCCAUUAAUAAUUAUCCAAAAAUUAAGAAUUUUUUCUUAAUAAAAAUUCUAUAUUUGAUAAUCUUCACAUCGAAAAUAAGAUUCAUUUUUUUAUAAAAAUUUCAUAUAUGGCAAUCUUCACAUACAGUAGAAUUCGUGGUUUUACCUGUUUUUUUUUAUGGGAAAGUAAAACUUUCAUUAAUUCAACAAAGUGAAAACUUACAAAAUUUCAGGAGGAAAAUUCUCCACCCAAACAACAGAUUUAAAUUUUUCAAUAGCCAUCUUAGUCAAAGAUUGGGCACACUCAUUAAAUGAUCUAGGGACAUAUUGUGCUUUAAAGGCUUUGAAAUUCUUUUUUAAAUCUUGAAUUUCCGCAAUGACCAAAUAUAUUUCUGUUAGGCUGCCUUCUCUAUUGUUUAUCAAUUCUGGUACUUCAUGAGAAUCAGUUUCUAGGAUAACUGACUGUAGACCUGCUUCCUGUGCUAUUUUAAUGCCCUACUCAGUUGCUUCUACUUCCACAUAUGUUACAUCUCUCCCAAACCUUGAGGUUUUUAUAGCUGCAACUAAGCACUUUCCAGUGGAGUCUCUGAUUAUUGCUCCCAAUCCCGAGCAUUGUCUUUUGGUGUUAGUAGUUGCAUCAACAUUUAUCUUUAGCCAUCCAUCGGGUGGAGGGGUCGAGGAUUUUGGUUUUUCCUUCUGCAUUUUUCCCAGAUUCAACAUCUCUGGAAAUUUUGUUCUCCUAAAAACUUCAUUGACUGUUUCAUCUUUGGCCAUUUGCAAUCCUUGAUCCAACUUUACACCUUCAAAUACAAAUUUAUUCUGAGCAUGCCAAAUCACCCACCACAUUGACACCACAAGCUCAAGUUCAACUUUACUUAAUUUCUUAUGAAGCAUCAUCAAAUCCCCCAAGAGGUUUGCAUUUCUCAUCUGUUGAAUUGCAUUCACCAUUGAUGAAAGCUGCCAAACCUUUCUUGCUGCUUUGCAAGUGACUAGGGCAUGCAUAGUAUUUUCCACUCUAUUUCUACAAUGCUUGCUGUGACCUUCCUGAAUAAUUCUACGCUUCCACAAAUUCUCAGCUGUCGGUAGUAAUUUUUUAACUCCUUUCCAAAUGAAAAUCUUGAUCUUUUUUGGGAUGGUAAGGGUCUAUAUGAUAUUCCAAUUUCUACCUUUACUGUUGGAGCAAUUUGGUGAAUUCAAAAAAUUUCAUAUUUAUAGCCACUUGGUAUCCACUCUUGACUGAGUAUUUCCCUCUUUUGUCAUAAUGCCAGAUGGCUUGGUCUUUGCUUCGUCCUUUUGGCGAAGGAAUGCUGAGAAUUGCAUCUACAUCUUCCUUUAAAAACAUCUUUUGGAUCAAGUCAGUCUUCCAUAUGCUUUCAUUGUCUAUCAACUCUGAAACAAUAGCAUCGAAAGGCAUCCUUGGACUAGGAAACGGUUUGAAAGUGGAUGGUCUUGGAAUCCAAUUUCCUUUGUAGGCUAAGAUGUUUUACCCAUUACCAAUUCUCUAUCUAUAUCCAUUAAGAAUUACUUGUCGACCCCAAAGUAAGCUUAUCUAAAUAUAAGAUGGGUUUGACCCCAUUGAAGCAUUUAAAAAAUCAAUCUUCUUGAAAAUACCUAGCCUUUAAGACAGUAGUUGCAAGGGAAUCUGGAUUUUGAAUCAAUCUCUAUCCUCGCUUAACUACCAUGACUUGGUUAAAACUUGAUAUGUCUCUAAAGCCCAUUCCCCCUCAAAUUUUAGCUUGACUCAUCUUCUCCCCUCUUAUCCAAACGAUGCCCCUUUUUUUCCUUCUUUUUAUUGCUCACUAAAUAUCAUCACACAGACCACUAGGUAUCUUGAAGACACUCAUUACAUAAGCUGGUUGUGCGACUACUUUCAUCAAGACAUCUUUUCCUCAACUCGAGAAAAGUUUCUGUUGCCAACUAGAGAUCUUGCUCUGGACUUUUAACUUAAUCUUAUUGAAGAAAUUUUUCUUUUUCCUCCUUAUCAUUGAGGGCAUCCUCAAGUACUUCUCAUGCUUUGUUACCACAUUGAGCUGAAAUAUUCUUUUAAUGGCUGAAAUUUGGUUUGCAUAGACAUUGCCGCUGAAGAACAUGCAUGACUUUUCAAAAUUAAAAAUUUGGCCAGAGGCAGUGGCAUAGCAAUCGAACAAACCUUUUAGAUGUUGGAAAUCUUUAAUUGAGGCUUUGGAAAAAAAAAUUAGGCUAUCAUAUGCAAAUAAGAGGUGAGAAAUAGAGAUAUGCUGUCCAAAUUUCAACCCAUGUAUUAACUUGCUUCUCUCAGCCUAAAUUAACAAAUUUGAAAGAGCAUCUGCACAUAUUAUAAACAGAUAAGGAGAUAAAGGGCAUCCCUGCCUCAAGCCCCUUUUAGGAAUAAUCUUGCCCUUUGGUAUUCCAUUUAUGAUUAUAGAAAAGUAUGACGUAGUAAUGCAAUUCAUAAUUAAAUUUAUCAACUUCUUAGCAAAACCUAAUCUGAUCAUUCUCUGCUUUAAAAAAUCCCAUUAUGCCCUAUCGUAAGCUUUGCUGAUAUCUAACUUCAGAGCCACCAAGCCUUUUUUUUUUUUCCUUUGUUAUGCCUAAUCUUAUGGUGGCAUUCAUACCCAACAAUGAUAUUAUCCAUUAUCAAUCUGUUGGGGAUAAAAGCACUCCACGAAGAAUCAAUUACAACAUGUAGGAUAGUUUUCAAUCUAUUUGCAAUAGUUUUACAACAAUCCUAUAAAUGAAAUUACAAAGACUUAUUGGUCUAAAUUCAGUCACUUUCCUAAGCUUUGCAUUAUUGGCAAUUAAAGCAAUGUAUGUGUGGUUCAAAAGAGCAAUGUUACCUGCUUCAUUGAGGAUGUGAAGACAUGUGGUGAUGUUAACUAAUGGUCAGUGCUUCCAAUAAAAGGCAGCCGGUAGCCCAUCAGGGCCUAGUGUCUUGGUUAGACACAUUUGAUUUAGAGCCUCCAUUAUCUCUUCCUCUGUAUAUGGUUGAGUCAGAUACUCAUUCAUUUAAGCUGAAACUUUUGAGACCAUUUCUUUCAAAGCACACUCUAUUUGAUCUUAAGUAGGGUUGGAAGUUGAAAAUAACUCUGCAAAGUAACCGCAGAACUCUUUCUCAAUAUCUUUAUUUUCUUCUACCCAUUUUCCCUAUGCAUCUUCAACUCCUCGAAUUUUGUUCUUCCUCUUUUUUAAAUGAAGCUUUUGAGUGGAAGAAUUUGGUGUUUUUAUCUCCCUCCCUUAAUCAAUCAGCCCUAAACCUCUCUCUGUUUCCAAAAGAUCUCUUCAUCUAAAAGGAGGUUAUGGAUCCGCCUCUCAAUGCUUAUCAAUUCUUCACCCCUAUCCCACUGUCUUUCCUACUGGAGCUCUUAUAUUUUAUUCAUCAGCUUCUCUAAUUUCUUCUUGCUUCCUUUAAAAGUUUUCUUACUCCAGUGUAUUAAUUCAGUUAGUGAAGAUUUACUGGCUUGUUUAAAAAACUGCAUUGCAUUAUCCCCUUACCAGUCUUUGGCUGAUUCUUCCUUUACAAUGUUCUUACACUCAUCAUAGUUGCUCCACAUGUCUUCAUAAUGGGUUCUUGAAAAGGUUCUUUUAUUAUAUGGCUUUCUAUUGGCUCUGCUUAUCACUUCCAUCAAAAUCGAAUUGUGGUCUGAGCACCAUAUAAUCAGAUUUUUUUGCAGCUUGGUUUUGGAAAGAAUUUGUCCAAUCAUUACUACAUAAAAAUCUAUCUAGACGUUCUUCAACAAAGUGGCUACCAAAUCUCCUAUUAGACUAUGUAAAAGGGUGGCUUGUAUAACCCAAAUCUUUCAAAUUGUAAUCCUGAACAUCAUCUCGAAACUCUCUAAUCAUAUAAACCUCCCUGUCUUUUCCUCUAUUUUUUUUUCAUCUAAGUGCAUUAUCUCAUUGAAAUUGCCAAAGCAUAACUAAGGGGGUGAAGAUAACAUGUUAAUCUCCUUAAUAAAGUCCAGGUGUGUUUUUUCUAACUCGUUUCUAAGUGCCCGUAGAUUCUAGUGCAUCUCAUCUGCUUCCCACUUUCAGUUCUACCUCAAUAUCUAUGCAGUGUUUGUUGAAAGAGGUGAUAUCUACCCUUGUUUCGGAAUUCCAAAGCAUAGCUAGACCCCCAUUCUUACCACCUCUACUAACCCAAAAAUAAUUUUCAAACUUCAGCUUCUUGCCAACAUUUUCCAUGUGUACAGAUGUCAAUUUAGUUUCACAUAGAAACAUUAAUUGAGGCCUAUACAAUGUGAGGAAUUUUUGGAGAGCUAUGAGCGUCCGCUCAUUCCCCAUCCCCCAGACGUUCCAGCUUAGAAUCCUCAUAGCUGUCGGCAAGGUUGAUGUUCUGCCUCCGCCGAUUGAGUUGCAUUGUUUAUGUUUUUAACAUUUUCUCCAUUCUUGAAACAACCCAGUUGAGCUUAUAGCUAAGAGGAGAUGUAUUGCAGGAGCUUUCUCUAGCUACUGAGUUUUUUUUGUGGGCUUAGGAUCUGGGUUUUUUUUUUUAUAAUUUGGGCUUGACCUUAUUACUCCACAACCUAGUCUUUUUCCCACAAUUAGCCUUUCUUUUGUGUGUCCUUUGCUACAUACACUGCUAGCUUACAGCUUUCACUUCUUUCUCUUAGGCCUAACAUUUUUUUUGUUUUCGGUCCAUCACAUACUACUUUUUUUGGGCUUGAGUUGCUUUGAUAUUUUUUUGGACUUGUAUUUAGAGUUAAUUUUGGCUCCAAAUUUAGCGCCAAAUUUAACUUUAUUCCCUCCCAAUUCUCCGUUCCCACUUUUUCUCUUUUUUUUCCAUGAUUGUUUAAGUUGUCGGUUGUAUUUUCGGUAUCAGCCAUGUUAGGUUACUUUUGACCGUGUCUUUCGGAUUUCUUGGUUCUAGAGUCAUUUGCAUUAAGUACUCCCUAAUCUUCCUUGUUUAACUAUCAUGAUCUCCCAAAUUAGAUUGGUUUGACUCGGGUUCAUAUUUAUACGGGUCUAAACCAAUUUGUUUUGCCUGCCUUCUCCCAUGGUGUUCUGCUUCUUUUGGUUCGUUAUUGAGCUGCUCAAACCUUCUAUUCCAUCUAUCUUUUCCCCUAUUCAGCCUAGUUUUUUCAACUUUGGAAAAUGCCUUCAUGUACACUCCAUAGGGCAGUUUUUUUUUUUUUUUUUUGGUUGCCCCAUGUAUGAUUCACACUCUUUAAAUUGGUACCAAAUGGUACCACAGCAAAAGCAGAAAUCUGGGAGCCAUUCAUACAAUACUGGCAACUCCACCUUAUCAUCUUCUUCUAGCUCCAACCAUUUUCUGUAAUGGCUUUGUGAUAUCAAUGGAUAUUCUGACUCUUGCAUACAAACGAAUACACUCCCCGUCAUCACAGUUUCAACUUCUAACACCUCUCUAAUCAGUCCUCCCAGCUUUUGAACAUUGUCCCUCUCUAUGCAAACUAUGGGUAUAUUGUGAAUUUGUACCAAAAAACGUGUAUGCGUGAAUUCUUCCUUUCUCAUGUUUCCUAUUCCACUGGGUUCUUUCAACACAAUCAGAGCCUUAUCGAAAUGACAUGGCUCUCCUGCCAUUAUUUUCUGUUUAUCAACUUCUAACCCAAAUUUGAACCGAAAAAUAUUGUUUCUCAUGCUCUCAAUCUUCACCUCUUUUGUUGUUUUCCAUGCUUGUGUUAAUGCAGUUUUGAUCACAUCCGUGUGGACACUCUUUGCCAAUAGAAUUUUCCCAAGCUUGUGUGGACAUCCCUGACUGUUGGUAGGGAAAUUUAUGCCAAAAUGGGGAAACUGCAGAAUGGAUUGCAAGUGAUUCUAUUGUACUGGUUACCAAAAUAGGAUACUUAUGACAGCGGUUGCUGAUUUUUCCACAUGUUCAUAUUUCUUCCAAUAUAACCCAAGUAGUUCAUAACAUUGUAUAUAAUGAUGUAGUUCGACAAGUGUUGCGUAAGAAUCACAACAAUGCAAUUGCAUCAAUAUUGAAUAGGGGUGGGCAAAAUUGGGUUUGAAUCAAUGCACUCUGCAUUGGAGAAAUGAUUUGGGAGAGGAUUAGUUUCAUUCUAUUUGCAAUUGCCUUAGCUACGACUCUAUAAAUUACAUUAUAAAGGCUUAUGGGCCUGUAAUCAAAGACUCUCCUAGGCUUAGCAAUUUUUGGGAUCAAUGCGAUAAAAGUAUAGUUAAGAGGAGACGGGUUACCUUGCUCAUUAAGGAUAUGAAGACAUGUUGUAACAACUCCAUUGCGAAUUAAUUUCCAAUGCUUCUGAAAAAAUACAACAGUUAAGCCACCUGGACCUGGGGCUUUUGUGGGGCACAUCUAUCCUAGAGCCUCCUCUAUAUCCUUUGGAGUGAAGGGCUUCUCCCGCUGGACAUUCAUUUAUGAUGUUACUUUUGCCGGCAUUCUUUGAAGAGCAGCUUGAAUUUGGCUUGGAGUUGGGCUGGAUGUAGUGAAGAGUUCUUGGAAGUAACCGCAGAAUUCCUUUUUCUAUAUCAUCUCUCUCCCUUAGCCAGACGCCUUUAGAGUUUUCUACCCCCCGCACCUUAUUCUUUCUUUUACGGGCAAAAGCUUUGGCAUGGAAAAACUUAGUGUUUUUGUCUCAUUCUCUUAGCCAGUCAGCCCCCGAUCGUUGCUUCCAAUAGAUCUCCUCGUCAAUAAGCAUGAAAUUGAUAUGGCUUUCAAUCUUCCUGAUCUCCUCUCCAUCAGUCAGCUUAGAGCUUCCUUGCAUAGCAUUCUGAAGGCUCUGAAACAACUUUUCUUGUUUUAUUUGUCUUCCUUCAAAUUCGUUUUUACUCCAGAGCCUAAGUUGAGCUAAAAAGUUUUUGCUAUCCGCUGAAAUUGGUGAGCAGGAUCCUCCCAAGCUCUAGCCCCAUAGUUUCCCCAUUCAUCCCUUACUAUGCUCCUACAGUCUUCGUAAGAACUCCACAUUUCCUCAUAGUGCUCACGGGGAAACGAUCUGCUCACAGUCCUCGACUUCUUGCAUCUCUAUUUGAAUUCUAAGACUAUUGGGCAGUGAUUUGAGACCCAAUUAACAAGGUUUGUGGCUGUAGAUUCUUGAAAUUUGUUGCCCCAAUCCUUACUACACAAGAAUCUGUCCAGCCAUUCUUCUAUGUAAUUAACACCAAAUCUCUUAUUAGACCAUGUAUACGGGUACCUCUUGCAGCCCACAACCUCUCUAAACUCGACAACCACAUUUACAUUCUUCUCGUUGCCCCCAUUUUUCUCAUACAUAUGCAUCACUUCAUUGAAAUCCCCAAAGCAACACCAAGGGUGGGAAGAAAGAUUAGCUAACCUUUUUAGAAUGGUCCAUGUGUUGUGCUUCUAGCUGAGCUUUGGGUGGCCAUAAAUCCCCGUACAUCUCCAAACCAAGUCACUUUCACUACUCACUAUUGCAUCUAUAUGGUGGGGCCUGUAUGAGGUGAUAUUGACAUUAACGUCUGCUCCCCAGAGCAUAGCUAGGCCUUCACCCA
RNAcentral lists this long non-coding RNA (34069 nucleotides) under Citrus maxima (pomelo). RNAcentral describes it as "long non-coding RNA (CMAX_LNC002432)". The record is from RNAcentral. Lineage: Eukaryota; Viridiplantae; Streptophyta; Magnoliopsida; Sapindales; Rutaceae.